UGCCUGUAAGCGGGGAAUAACCCGUUGAAAGACGGACUAAUACCGCAUAAUACUAAAUUACUGCAUGGUAAUUUAUUUAAACAUUUAUGGCUUACAGAUGGGCAUGCGCAUGAUUAGCUAGUUGGAGAGGUAACGGCUCCCCAAGGCAACGAUCAUUAGGGGUUCUGAGAGGAAGGUCCCCCACACUGGUACUGAGACACGGACCAGACUCCUACGGGAGGCAGCAGUGAGGAAUAUUGGUCAAUGGACGAGAGUCUGAACCAGCCAAGUCGCGUGCAGGAAGAAUGUCCUUAAUGGAUUGUAAACUGCUUUUGCAGGGGAAUAAAGUGCAUCACGUGUGAUGUUUUGUAUGUACUCUGCGAAUAAGGAUCGGCUAACUCCGUGCCAGCCGCAGC
This 395-nucleotide ribosomal RNA is filed under the name uncultured bacterium. RNAcentral describes it as "bacterial SSU rRNA". It matches the Rfam family "Bacterial small subunit ribosomal RNA", at positions 127 to 518 of the family's 1533-position model. The record is from RNAcentral.